GUAGCAAUACGAGAGGUUUCCUAGUGGCGAAUGGGUGAGUAACACGUGGGCGACCUGCCCCGAAGUGGGGGAUAACAGCUCGAAAGGGCUGCUAAUACCGCAUGUGGUUGCCGGGGUUAGAGGCCUGGCAACAAAAGCAGCAAUGCGCUUCGGGAGGGGCCUGCGGCCCAUCAGGUAGUUGGCAGGGUAACGGCCUACCAAGCCUAUGACGGGUAGGGGACCUGAGAGGGUGGUCCCCCACACUGGCACUGAAACACGGGCCAGACACCUACGGGUGGCAGCAGUAGGGAAUAUUGCACAAUGGGCGAAAGCCUGAUGCAGCAACGCCGCGUGCGCGAUGAAGGCCUUCGGGUCGUAAAGCGCUUUUCGGGGGGAUGAGGAAGGACAGUACCCCCGGAAUAAGUGACGGCUAACUACGUGCCAGCAGCCGCGGUAAAACGUAGGUCACGAGCGUUAUCCGGAUUUACUGGGCGUAAAGCGCGUGCAGGCGGUCAGGCAAGUCGGGCGUGAAAUCUCUCGGCUCAACCGGGAGGGGUCGUCCGAAACUACCAGACUAGAGGGCAGUAGAGGGAGGUGGAAUUCCCGGUGUAGUGGUGAAAUGCGUAGAGAUCGGGAGGAACACCUGUGGCGAAGGCGGCCUCCUGGGCUGCCCCUGACGCUCAGACGCGAAAGCUAGGGGAGCGAACGGGAUUAGAAACCCCGGGUAGUCCUAGCCGUAAACG
RNAcentral lists this ribosomal RNA (722 nucleotides) under uncultured Chloroflexota bacterium. Its description in RNAcentral is "bacterial SSU rRNA". It matches the Rfam family "Bacterial small subunit ribosomal RNA", at positions 76 to 808 of the family's 1533-position model. Lineage: Bacteria; Bacillati; Chloroflexota. The record is from RNAcentral.